Molecule: non-coding RNA, 88 nt
Organism: Acanthosepion pharaonis
Lineage: Eukaryota; Metazoa; Mollusca; Cephalopoda; Sepiida; Sepiidae
Source: the annotation of a GenBank genome assembly
AAAACGCCGGUUCUCGUACGAUCACCAAAGUUAAGCAACCUCAAGCCUGGUCAGUACCUGGAUGAGUGACUGAUAAGGAAUACCAGGU